RNAcentral lists this ribosomal RNA (441 nucleotides) under uncultured Planctomyces sp. RNAcentral describes it as "bacterial SSU rRNA". It matches the Rfam family "Bacterial small subunit ribosomal RNA", at positions 948 to 1382 of the family's 1533-position model. Lineage: Bacteria; Pseudomonadati; Planctomycetota; Planctomycetia; Planctomycetales; Planctomycetaceae. The record is from RNAcentral.
AAUUCGAGGCAACGCGAAGAACCUUAUCCUGGGUUUGACAUGGUCGGAUUAGUUGGCCGAAAGGUCAAUGACGCCUUCGGGUGGAACGAUCACAGGUGCUGCAUGGCUGUCGUCAGCUCGUGUCGUGAGAUGUCGCGUUAAGUCGCUAAACGAGCGCAACCCCUGUCCUUAGUUGCCAACACGUCAUGGUGGGGACUCUAAGGAGACCGCCGGCGUCAAGCCGGAGGAAGGCGGGGAUGACGUCAAGUCCUCAUGGCCUUUAUGCCCAGGGCUGCACACGUGCUACAAUGGGGCGUACAGAGGGAAGCCAAGCUGCGAAGCGGAGCAAAUCCCAGAAAGCGUCCCCCAGUUCGGAUUGCAGGCUGCAACUCGCCUGCAUGAAGCCGGAAUCGCUAGUAAUCGCGGGUCAGCAAUACCGCGGUGAAUGUGUUCCUGAGCCUU